Molecule: long non-coding RNA, 337 nt
Organism: Raphanus sativus (radish)
Lineage: Eukaryota; Viridiplantae; Streptophyta; Magnoliopsida; Brassicales; Brassicaceae
Exons: 3
Source: RefSeq, a predicted model, not a curated record
CUCAUCUUCCAUCCUAAUCGUUCUCUCUUCCCAAAACGUCUGCCGAUCAAUAUUCUAUUGGACUUAAUGGUAUUGUCUCCUGAAGCUUUAAAUCAGCUUACCUUGGUCUCACUAAACCAUGAGAUUUUCUUUUCUCCCUCCAGUCUCAACUGCAGUCUCCUGUUACGACGCCGCUUUGCAUUCUCCGGUUCAACACAAUCGGCAAUAUCAGAGCUUAUGAAAGGAAAUUAAAGGCAAAUGAUUUCAAUUACCAGCAAAGUUUCUAUUGAUCCUACAGAGAUGUUCAGGUUCCAAUCUUUUGAGUAACUAAUGGCGUAAGCUAACACUAACGAGAUAU